Molecule: ribosomal RNA, 1330 nt
Filed under: uncultured bacterium
Lineage: Bacteria
Description: bacterial SSU rRNA
Rfam family: Bacterial small subunit ribosomal RNA
Source: RNAcentral
GACGAACGCUGGCGGCGUGCUUAACACAUGCAAGUCGAACGGACCCUUUGGGGUUAGUGGCGAACGGGUGAGUAACACGUGGGUGAUCUGCCCUGCACUUUGGGAUAAGCCUGGGAAACUGGGUCUAAUACCGGAUAGGACUACGCACUGCAUGGUGUGUGGUGGAAAGCUUUUGCGGUGUGGGAUGGGCCCGCGGCCUAUCAGCUUGUUGGUGGGGUGAUGGCCUACCAAGGCGACGACGGGUAGCCGGCCUGAGAGGGUGACCGGCCACACUGGGACUGAGAUACGGCCCAGACUCCUACGGGAGGCAGCAGUGGGGAAUAUUGCACAAUGGGCGCAAGCCUGAUGCAGCGACGCCGCGUGAGGGAUGACGGCCUUCGGGUUGUAAACCUCUUUCGCCAGGGACGAAGCGCAAGUGACGGUACCUGGAGAAGAAGGACCGGCCAACUACGUGCCAGCAGCCGCGGUAAUACGUAGGGUCCGAGCGUUGUCCGGAAUUACUGGGCGUAAAGAGCUCGUAGGUGGUUUGUCGCGUUGUUCGUGAAAACUCACAGCUUAACUGUGGGCGUGCGGGCGAUACGGGCAGACUGGAGUACUGCAGGGGAGACUGGAAUUCCUGGUGUAGCGGUGGAAUGCGCAGAUAUCAGGAGGAACACCGGUGGCGAAGGCGGGUCUCUGGGCAGUAACUGACGCUGAGGAGCGAAAGCGUGGGGAGCGAACAGGAUUAGAUACCCUGGUAGUCCACGCCGUAAACGGUGGGUACUAGGUGUGGGUUUCCUUCCUUGGGAUCCGUGCCGUAGCUAACGCAUUAAGUACCCCGCCUGGGGAGUACGGCCGCAAGGCUAAAACUCAAAGGAAUUGACGGGGGCCCGCACAAGCGGCGGAGCAUGUGGAUUAAUUCGAUGCAACGCGAAGAACCUUACCUGGGUUUGACAUGCACAGGACGCCGGCAGAGAUGUCGGUUCCCUUGUGGCCUGUGUGCAGGUGGUGCAUGGCUGUCGUCAGCUCGUGUCGUGAGAUGUUGGGUUAAGUCCCGCAACGAGCGCAACCCUUGUCUCAUGUUGCCAGCACGUUAUGGUGGGGACUCGUGAGAGACUGCCGGGGUCAACUCGGAGGAAGGUGGGGAUGACGUCAAGUCAUCAUGCCCCUUAUGUCCAGGGCUUCACACAUGCUACAAUGGCCGGUACAAAGGGUUGCGAUGCCGUGAGGUGGAGCGAAUCCUUUCAAAGCCGGUCUCAGUUCGGAUCGGGGUCUGCAACUCGACCCCGUGAAGUCGGAGUCGCUAGUAAUCGCAGAUCAGCAACGCUGCGGUGAAUACGUUCCCGGGCCU